UCUCGAGGUUGGUCCAACCACAUUUGAAGCAAAGUUGCAGCCUCAUCUUCUUUGGAGUCUUGAUCAGGUGAAAGAGAACAUCAAGACCCAGACACAUCAACUUAUAGAUGCUCGAUCAAAACCUAGAUUUGAUGGUGCAGUUCCCGAGCCACGAAAGGGGAUUAGAAGUGGGCAUGUGCCUGGGAGCAAAUGUGUUCCGUUUCCUCAGGUUCUUGACAGCUCACAAAAGCUAUUGCCUCCAGAUGAGCUCUGUAAACGGUUUGAGCAAGAAGGUAAUAUCA
Zea mays is the source of this 281-nucleotide long non-coding RNA. RefSeq lists it as uncharacterized. NCBI's taxonomy places the organism in Eukaryota, Viridiplantae, Streptophyta, Magnoliopsida, Poales, Poaceae. The record is from RefSeq and is a predicted model, not a curated record. The transcript has 4 exons.